RNAcentral lists this ribosomal RNA (498 nucleotides) under uncultured bacterium. Its description in RNAcentral is "partial 16S ribosomal RNA". It matches the Rfam family "Bacterial small subunit ribosomal RNA", at positions 30 to 523 of the family's 1533-position model. The record is from RNAcentral.
AUUGAACGCUGGCGGCAUGCCUUACACAUGCAAGUCGAACGGUAACAGGUCUUCGGAUGCUGACGAGUGGCGAACGGGUGAGUAAUACAUCGGAACGUGCCUAGUAGUGGGGGAUAACUACUCGAAAGAGUGGCUAAUACCGCAUGAGAUCUACGGAUGAAAGCAGGGGAUCGCAAGACCUUGUGCUACUAGAGCGGCCGAUGGCAGAUUAGGUAGUUGGUGGGAUAAAAGCUUACAAAGCAGACGAUCUGUAGCUGGUCUGAGAGGACGAUCAGCCACACUGGGACUGAGACACGGCCCAGACUCCUACGGGAGGCAGCAGUGGGGAAUUUUGGACAAUGGGCGCAAGCCUGAUCCAGCAAUGCCGCGUGCAGGAUGAAGGCCUUCGGGUUGUAAACUGCCUUUGUACGGAACGAAAAGCCCUGGGUUAAUACCCUGGGGUCAUGACGGUACCGUAAGAAUAAGCACCGGCUAACUACGUGCCAGCCGCCGCCGUAA